Molecule: ribosomal RNA, 312 nt
Filed under: Triticum aestivum (bread wheat)
Lineage: Eukaryota; Viridiplantae; Streptophyta; Magnoliopsida; Poales; Poaceae
Description: partial small subunit ribosomal RNA
Source: RNAcentral
AUGGCGUUCGAGGAGGCGUUGAGCAGGCUCAAGGCGUUUGACGAACGCUUACGUCGGCGCACACAGGACAACGGCGGACGAGGCGGCGAUCAACUGAUGUUCACGGCGGCCCAGUGGGAGGCACGGCAGCGUCAGCACGGCGGCAACCUCGACCACGACGACGGUGCGAGCAGUGUGGCUUCGGGCACGAGACGGCGGCGCGGGAAGUGCUACAACUGUGGCGUUCGUGGCCACUUCUCCCGCGACUGCCGGCAGCCGAAGAAGGAGAAGGCGCUCCUCGGCGACAUCGACGACGAGCCGACCUUACUGUAG